UACGAAGGGGGCUAGCGUUGCUCGGAAUUACUGGGCGUAAAGGGAGCGUAGGCGGGUUAUCAAGUUGGAGGUGAAAGCCCAGGGCUCAACCUUGGAAUUGCCUUCAAAACUGAUAGCCUAGAGUAUGAUAGAGGUAUGUGGAACUCCGAGUGUAGAGGUGAAAUUCGUAGAUAUUCGGAAGAACACCAGUGGCGAAGGCGACAUACUGGGUCAUGACUGACGCUGAGGCUCGAGAGCGUGGGGAGCAAACAGG
This 253-nucleotide ribosomal RNA is filed under the name uncultured bacterium. RNAcentral's name for it is "partial 16S ribosomal RNA". It matches the Rfam family "Bacterial small subunit ribosomal RNA", at positions 524 to 776 of the family's 1533-position model. The record is from RNAcentral.